AACGCUGGCGGCAGGCUUAAUACAUGCAAGUCGAACGGUAACAUGUCGGAGCAAUCUGAUGAUGACGAGUGGCGCACGGGUGCGUAACGCGUAUGCAACCUACCCAUAACCGGAACAUAACGUUGAGAAAUCGGCGCUAAUAUUCCAUGUGUAUAUUUUGUGGCAUCAUAGAAUAUAUAAAGAUUAAUUGGUUAUGGAUGGGCAUGCGUAUCAUUAGCUAGUUGGUGGGGUAACGGCCUACCAAGGCUGCGAUGAUUAGGGGUUCUGAGAGGAUAACCCCCCACACUGGAACUGAGACACGGUCCAGACUCCUACGGGAGGCAGCAGUAGGGAAUAUUGGGCAAUGGAGGCAACUCUGACCCAGCCAUGCCGCGUGAAGGAAGACGGUCCUAUGGAUUGUAAACUUCUUUUAUCAUAGAGUAACCGCAGGGACGUGUCCCUGCCUGCAAGUAUAUGAUGAAUAAGCAUCGGCUAACUCCGUG
This 482-nucleotide ribosomal RNA is filed under the name uncultured bacterium. Its description in RNAcentral is "bacterial SSU rRNA". It matches the Rfam family "Bacterial small subunit ribosomal RNA", at positions 32 to 507 of the family's 1533-position model. The record is from RNAcentral.